CCCCCACCUGACCCCAUGCCGAACUCAGAAGUGAAACGCCGUAGCGCCGAUGGUAGUGUGGGGUCUCCCCAUGCGAGAGUAGGGAACUGCCAGGC
This 95-nucleotide ribosomal RNA is filed under the name Salmonella enterica subsp. enterica serovar Dublin. Lineage: Bacteria; Pseudomonadati; Pseudomonadota; Gammaproteobacteria; Enterobacterales; Enterobacteriaceae. The record is from RNAcentral.